UGGGGGAGUGUCAGGGGCGGGGUUCCCGUGUUGCGCUAUGGAAAAUCGUUAGGGGGAUACACUGUGAUAAACGUGCGCUCCGAAAUUGAUAAUAGCGACAAUAAGGCUGAAACAGGAACCUGGUGGACUGUCCAUUCACUGAGGACCUGGUCUGAGUGACGCCGGCCGGGAAAUGGAUGAGACUCAUUCGGCACGGGAGGGAAACAGGCUUGGGAUAAACACACCUUGUAAUUCACACCUGCCAGAGCACAAUAGGACGCUGACACGCCUGAUGUGAUGACACUGUUGCUGUUAACACCACGUUCGCUGGCCUCUCGUACCUUCCUAAUGACCCGAGUGAAGGAGGGUGUGGUGCCUCCUGCUGCUUACCUGCCAGAGGGAUGGGAGAUGGAGGCACUUUCUCGCAUAGCAGCACUUCCGAGGAUCUGGUUUUUCCAUCGUGCACCACAGUCAUCCCCACUUGGACCAGGAGAGGGACUGGAUGCUUGAGGCAGACCCAGGAGACGACACAGUAUCCUAUUGUACAUUACAAAGAAGUCCACAGGGAGCUGUGGAGAUCUAUUUUUCCCUGAGUAUGAUUCAUAGACAGUUUUUUGUUGGGGUUCAUCUCUGGUGCCAGUCUGCUGCCAAGCCCUUUCUUACACUGAGAUCGGAUGCACUAAUGCAAGGAACUGAGCUGCUGUGUCAUUCUUAGAGGAACUGGCCAUGACUCAGUGGUUCUACUCAUUGGUCUCCGUGCCAGCAAAGAGUCUGCGUCUUCCGUUUUGUUGUUUCUUUUCUGCCUGUCGCUCUCUUUGGAAAGAGUCCAGGUUUAAAGCAUCUUUUGUUUUAUAUUUUUGUAGUCAGUAAAUGUUGUUUGUGCAAAUAUUUCUCUUCACAGUGUGUGUGAUAAAACAGGUAGGUAUACUGUUUCUCGUUAAAUAACCAAAAGUUGAGAUGAUGGUUAUCAAACAUUCUUUUAUGUAAUUUCUACACCACGCCUAAACCUCGAGGCAGCGUUACAAACAAACUGCAGAAGUUUACACUUGCAAAAAAGUUUUUUUUUUAGUGUGUGUGUGUCGGGAAAUCACAGUUCUCCAUAUCAAAUAACCCUGAGAAGAACAGAUCUGUGCCCAAUGGGUUGGAAUUUGUUUUUUUCUAUAAAAGCGAGCAGAACCAAAAUAAAUCGGCUAUUUAAAAAAAUAGCAUUGUUUUCUUUCUUUGUCCGUUUAGUCUGGGGCAACAUGCAAUUACCAUACCAUGUCUUAUUGAACAUGUUUCUUUAUCUUAAUUGGAAUAAAGUUUAUGCAGGUGAUACAUUGAUAAGGACUGUAUCCUCUUAAACAUGUCUAUCAGUAUAAAGCAAAGCAGUAAGUUUAUUAAGAAAUUUUGGCAAGACACUGGAAAAGAAAAUCGAUUUAAUGACUAAUUAAAUUAGUAUAAAUUCCAUUAUAUUCCUUCACACAAAUCAAAUCUACCCUCUGAUAAGAUGAGCUACUUUUAUUGUUUGUACUAGAAAUAAUUUAGUUAGUAAAAUGCUUGCAACAUGUUGAUUUUAGACUAAUGUUUUUUUUCUUCUUGCAGAAGAGGACAUGACUUCAGAAAGUGUUUUUUCUAAAAGCAUCCCCCCCAGGGAACUGGUUUCAGAUGGUGUUUUAGAGUAUAAAAUCCCAUCUAGCACCAUUUGAAAUCGGUGUUCUUGAGCGGGAACAGACUUCAGGAGUGACGGCAGUGACAGUUUUAUUCACUAAAUUCCCAGAAAGUUUGGUGGCUUUGUGUAUAUCCAAAUUUUGACAAACUAUUAUCCACUAAUAACGACAGUUACGUGUCUAUUGGUUCUCUUGAUCAGUUCUCUACACAGCUUACACUCUAGAGAUGAGAAGAAAAGAAGGUCUUGGAUAAGCUGAGAACCUGAAACCCCCUCUCACCAAGGCUGACCGUUUUCGUCUGGUGUUCAGAGUUUCCAUCAUGUCUAGCACCAUUUGAAAUCGGUUACAAUGUGGAGGGACUAUCAACAAAAAGCUUUUGCCUCAGCGGUUGCAGGAUGAAUUUCCUUAAAGGACCAAAAGAUGGCAGCAUUGAGCUGCAAUCCAUGCUAUCGUUGCAGUAGUGAAGGUUUUACUGAAUGAUCUUGAUCAGGUGCAAGACCAGCUGGAACAAAGCACAACUUUAUCAUGUUGAGGCCUCUUCAGCUGUUGUGUUUAGUUUUUUAAUAAUUCAGUUUUUAUUUAACCAUGAACCUCAGCCUUGCUGUGGGCCUGUACUCUUGUGUUCCUGUACUUUUCUACCAGGAACAGAUGAUAAAGAAAGAGAUUAUCUAGUUAAAUGCUUCAGUAGUUCAGAGGUUGUGUAUCCACCCAUUGCAGAGCUCUCAAAUGUAUAAUGUUCCUUAUAUUUAAAUAUUAAAAUACAGCAAAACUAUAGUUAAAUCAGCACGUUGUUGUCCAUAGCUCCACACUGUAUUUACAUCCAUAAAAAAAAAUGGUUUCACUUGUUUUCACAAGUUGUACAGUAUUCUAUUUAUUAAAGUCUUCUUGUUCAAAUGAA
Long non-coding RNA from Dicentrarchus labrax (European seabass), 2526 nucleotides. RefSeq lists it as uncharacterized. NCBI's taxonomy places the organism in Eukaryota, Metazoa, Chordata, Actinopteri, Moronidae. The record is from RefSeq and is a predicted model, not a curated record. The transcript has 3 exons.